AGUGAACGCUGGCGGUAGGCCUAACACAUGCAAGUCGAACGGCAGCACAGUAAGAGCUUGCUCUUACGGGUGGCGAGUGGCGGACGGGUGAGGAAUACAUCGGAAUCUACCUUUUCGUGGGGGAUAACGUAGGGAAACUUACGCUAAUACCGCAUACGACCUACGGGUGAGAGCAGGGGAUCUUCGGACCUUGCGCGAUUGAAUGAGCCGAUGUCGGAUUAGCUAGUUGGCGGGGUAAAGGCCCACCAAGGCGACGAUCCGUAGCUGGUCUGAGAGGAUGAUCAGCCACACUGGAACUGAGACACGGUCCAGACUCCUACGGGAGGCAGCAGUGGGGAAUAUUGGACAAUGGGCGCAAGCCUGAUCCAGCCAUACCGCGUGGGUGAAGAGGGCCUUCGGGUUGUAAAGCCCUUUUGUUGGGAAAGAAAAGCAGCAGGUUAAUACCCCGCUGUUCUGACGGUACCCAAAGAAUAAGCACCGGCUAACUUCGUG
RNAcentral lists this ribosomal RNA (492 nucleotides) under uncultured bacterium. RNAcentral's name for it is "partial 16S ribosomal RNA". It matches the Rfam family "Bacterial small subunit ribosomal RNA", at positions 29 to 507 of the family's 1533-position model. The record is from RNAcentral.